Gasterosteus aculeatus aculeatus (three-spined stickleback) is the source of this 1904-nucleotide long non-coding RNA. Lineage: Eukaryota; Metazoa; Chordata; Actinopteri; Perciformes; Gasterosteidae. The record is from Ensembl.
GGGGGGGGCAGGCGCGUGAAAAAUCACGCACACUCAGUGAGAAAUUACCCGCACGUGACCGCAGAAGACUCCAAAAAGGCAAAACGAGCGAGAGGAUCAAAUGAAAAGCCGCAGGAAUUCUUCCCCGUUUCUUCCCGCGCAGCUUGAGCGAACGUGCAUUCGCACUCGCGCGCAUGCACGCACGCGCCCCGGUCUGCAGCGAGGCGAGGACAGUCGGGCACACGCGCAGACACGCGCCGCGCGGCGUUUGACGUCGUCUCUCACCCCGCCGUAACCUUUCACGCGUGCAGCCGCACAGGAGUGCACGUGCACGCGCGCGCGUACUCAGGCUGCCCGGCUGAAAGCGCGUGAGGAGAAAAUGAGAAACGCCAGUGAAGAAAUGGGUGUGUACGCGCUGGGGGCGGGACCAGGCACGUGAUUGACAGCCCAGGUGACCACUGAGUCGCGGCGCAUCAUUUAUGAAUGUAAGAAAUCAGCUGUUAAUGAAAGAAACGAGAAUGUUCUACACACACCGACCUGCUCAAAUCAUUUAGGAUGGAUGGACCUUCUGUCUGCGGCGCGCCACCCGUUCCCACAAUCCUUAGCGUGUAACCACACCUGUUUACCACGAGGUAGCACAUCCAGUCAAAGGUCCACGUCCUCGUCUCUGGGACGAAAACACCACUAAGUCUCACACCGUUUGUCCCUUCGUUGACCUGUGAUGAUGGAGACAGAUGAACCCCCUGGAGGAGACGGAGGAGACCUUUGGAUCAUCUCAUCACAGCUCUUUGUCUCCACCUGGAGGUGACGUGUGAGGAUGCACGUUAGCGGUCAUGUUGUCGACAGGUAUGAUUGUAAGAUAAUCCUCAGAGUAACUGCAGAAUAUACAUUUAAUGCAGUACAAUGAACAGUGUACAGAAAUGAAACUGUACAAAUAGAAAUAUUUAACAGUAAAGUACCAACAUGUGAAGAAAUGUGAACAAGUUCAAUUUGACGGAUUUUAUUCAAACAUUUUUCUAUUUUCUAAAUAUAUUGACCUCAAACAGCCUUUGGGAUCGGUGCUAUUGUGGGUAUAAUGAUUUAACCGGGGGGGGACACAUAGACACACUUUCCUUUAUUGAAAUAAUAAAUACAAUUAAUGAGAUACACAUCAGGUCUUUAACAGUUUAUUCUUUUAAAGACGUUUUUCUUGUACAUUUGGCUUUAAUCCAAUCAUUUUUUCUCUUGGUUUGACACAUUCGGCGUACGGGACUGUUUGCGUGGGACGGCAUGAAUGAAUGUCCCCUCUGGGGAGCUUCUCCGGCGGAUCUCCUCAAAGAGGCCAGAAGGAAGCCGAACAAGAAGCUGAGCAAACAAACAGGAGCUCUGGUUCCUCUUUCGUCUCCUCGUCUUGGUUUUGUUCUCUAAACCGGCGAGUGAGGAAUGCGUUUCCCUCCAGCUGGAGACGCCAGGACGCCCGUUCCCCAGGUGGAGUUACCUCACCUCGCGUCCUCAUAUGGUCAUUUCCUGUUUACGGGUUGUGGAAAAACAAGAUGGUCGCGACCAAAAGGCAGAACUGGAGGCUUCAGGACGUCAGUCGGCCGAGUGCGUCUCCUUCACCAAGAAAUACACUUUAUUCCACAGUAACGUGGCACAGCGUCACAUUUAGCUGAUACUUGUACUUCAAGCACCGGCCUGCAGCCAGAGGUCGUGGGGAUCUCCGGUGGGCGGAGCUUCAAUGGCGUGCAGCAGAGAUCCUCCCUCCUGCUUUGAGCCACUGUAAUAAAACGGGGAUCAAAGGCAGAUCACGUCCCCGGUGAGAGGGAUGCAGAGAGCUGCAGAAGGCCUGCAGCGGCCUUUUAACACUUAAUGACUAUCAGAAGCAGCCCGUGUGUGCACGUGUUUGCGUGUGUGUGCACGUGUGUGCACGUGUUUGCGUGUGUGUG